This 452-nucleotide long non-coding RNA is filed under the name Nicotiana benthamiana. RNAcentral's name for it is "long non-coding RNA (NBEN_LNC029759)". The record is from RNAcentral. Lineage: Eukaryota; Viridiplantae; Streptophyta; Magnoliopsida; Solanales; Solanaceae.
CUUUCUGAAGUGCAAUCGGAAGAGACAAGUCCGCAGUAGGAGCAGGGUGUGGUGCAGGACGUGAAUCAACCGGGCCGGAUGCUGGGUGAGGACGACGAUGAUAUGUCAAGAGUGGAGUGUCUUGUGCAGGGAGUCUAUGAGGAGCCACAGUAGACGUUCCAACGUUUGGAAUGGGUAAGACUUCUGUAGCGAAAGGUGAAGGAGGAGAUAUAGUAGACUCCCUAAAGUCCGGUAUAGGUAAAACCUCAGAUAUAUCAAGACGGUCAGAAUGGUCAAGCAGGGAGUCUAGUAGGAGCCACACUAGACUCUCCAACAGUUGGAAUGGGUAAGAUUUCUGUUGCGGAAGGUGUAGGAGGAGCUAUAGUAGAAUCCGUAAAGCCGGUACAGGUAAAACCUCAGAUAUAUCAAGAUGGUCAGAAUGGUCAGAAGAGGUAAAGAAAGGCUUAGANNNN